UCUGUAACUAUUGAGUGUCAUUGACCAAGGUUCAGGUGACCUUUACAUUGCAGGAUAUACGUGUAUGACUUCUUAGCUUUGAUACGCAUGUUCAACAAGUGAGGAAGGUAUCUUCCUUCAGCACCAUAGAAAUUCCCUAGUAAUAGUGCAGCUGCCUUGGUUUGCACUGAAGCAUGCUAAGAAUCUACCAUCAUAGUCUCUAAGUAUGCCAUCACAGGCUGUUUUAUUGUCUUUAAAAACUGAACCAUCUGAAUUUUUUUUAACAAAUGGAUGCUUAGGAGGAAUCCAACGAACCUAUUUCACCAUAAAAUUAUUGACACUCCUCCUUGGCCAUGUAGUAAUCUUUUGUCAAAUGCAUAGCAAAAUCAUGAAUCUUGUAUUCAUCAAUAGCUUUGUUGAGUCGAAACCAUAAGUAAUUCAAAAUACUUGCAAAUAGUGGGGGCUAAGGAAUGCCUUUAAUGAGAGACUAAGAAGAUAAAUUCACGAAUAACCAAGGGAUGAGGGAAAUUAUGAAAAAAUCAUCUGAGCUCAAACUAUUAUAAAUGCUCUUCCAUAUCUUUUGAGCAACCUUACAAUUGCAAAGAAUGUAAAAUAAAGACUCAGAAAGAACCGCAUACAGUGCACGUAUCACUAGACGCCAUUUGUCUUCCACAAACAGAGCUAUUGCUCCAAGAUAAACAAAGAAAAUAUCUUAGGGAAGAGUAGAACACAGACCCAUUUAUCCUAAUCCGCCACAAAUCUCCAUGGUAAGCUUCCUUGCUAGAUCAAAAACAUUCCAAGCUUGAUCUUUUCUCCUUUCAAAGAUUUUUGCAUUUUAGGCCCUUCGUAAACCCCAACAAAUAGCUGCGAACAAGCUCAUCUUCUAAUCCCUAUCAAUCCCAUUUCUGGAGGCAAUGGUUGGUGGUUUCGUCUUCAGAGCCACAUCUUGAACACAGAGAAGGAGAUCGUUGGUGGAUGUUGACCAACAUAGGGGGACACUCAGGAUACAGGCUACCAUGCCUGGGGGGAAGGAAGUUUCAAUUAAACUCCUAUUUCUGGAUACGAUUUUCUUUCAGUAACUCUUUAACUCAAUUGAAACCUAUAAAUAUGUUACUGUCUGGAUUGAGGUAGAAUGGGUUUGGGGGUGAGAGCCAAGAAUCUUGCCAAAUUUGGACACUGUCACCCAUCUUUUUCCACUACUUUUCUCCCUUCCAAUAAAAUUUACCAACCCCAAGAUGAUUGAAAAUCCUUUUUGCUGAGAUAGGAGAGUUAUAUCGAAAGUAUUUUCCCUUAAAAAGAUGCGAGAGCAGUGAAUUCGAUUUAAUUGUUAGCCUCCAAAAUUGCUUGCCCAGUAGCACCAGAUUCUAGGCUUUCAUAUCGUUGAAACCAAGUCCACCCUCCUUCUUAAGCCUCGUCAUAUUAUCCCAGUUGAUCCAUGCCAUCCUUCGUUCUUUACCUUAUUGUCCCACCAGAACUACAUUAGGAUUCUGUGAAUAUCAUCCACUAAUGAGUCUGAUAGCUUAAAACAUGAUAAAGUAUACACCGGUAUCGCCUCAUCCACCGCUUUAAUUAACACAUAUCUCCCAGUAGUUGAGAAGAGGUUCUGUUUCCAAGCUUAUACCUUCUUCUAAACUUUAUCCUUAAUUGCCCCAAAAUUAGUCUUUUUCAAUUUAUGCACAACAGAUUGUAGGUCUAAAUAUUUGUCCUAAGCCCUAGUAUCAAUAAUGUUGAGACUUUCUGCUAGUUCGUGUCUGAAAGAAGGGGUUAUUUUGGUUGAAGAAAACUAAAGAUUUGUUAAGAUUUACUUUUUGACUGCUGAAACUCUCAUAGUUAUUGACUACUCCCAAAGCAUUGGAGCACACUUCUUCAAUAGCCUUAUAGAAAAGAAUUGAGUCAUCCGCAAAAAAAGUAAUUAACAGUCGAACACUUUCUGUGAAUCUGAAUUCCUUGAAUAGUCAUGUUUUACUUUGUUUUGUGUA
Molecule: non-coding RNA, 1958 nt
Organism: Arachis ipaensis
Lineage: Eukaryota; Viridiplantae; Streptophyta; Magnoliopsida; Fabales; Fabaceae
Source: RefSeq, a predicted model, not a curated record